AUUGAACGCUGGCGGCAGGCCUAACACAUGCAAGUCGAACGAGUGGCGGACGGGUGAGUAAUGUCUGGGAAACUGCCCGAUGGAGGGGGAUAAAUACUGGAAACGGUAGCUAAUACCGCAUACCAUCGGAUGUGCCCAGAGGGGGGUGGCUCGUAGUGUGGGUAACGUCUCACCUAGGCGACGAUCCCUAGCUGGUCUGAGAGGAUGACCAGCCACACUGGAACGGAGACACGGUCCAGACUCCUACGAGAGGCAGCAGUGGGGAAUAUUGCACAAUGGGCGCAAGCCUGAUGCAGCCAUGCCGCGUGUAUGAAGAAGGCCUUCGGGUUGUAAAGUACUUUCAGCGAGGAGGCGUUACUCGCAGAAGAAGCACCGGCUAACUCCGUGCCAGCAGCCGCGGUAAUAC
Molecule: ribosomal RNA, 406 nt
Filed under: uncultured bacterium
Lineage: Bacteria
Description: partial 16S ribosomal RNA
Rfam family: Bacterial small subunit ribosomal RNA
Source: RNAcentral